GACGAACGCUGGCGGCGUGCUUAACACAUGCAAGUCGAACGGUGAAGGGAUCAGCUUGCUGGUUCUGGAUGAGUGGCGAACGGGUGAGUAACACGUGAGUAACCUGCCCCCUUCUUCUGGAUAACCGCAUGAAAGUGUGGCUAAUACGGGAUAUUCUGCGCCUGCUGCAUGGUGGGUGUGGGAAAGAUAUUGUUUCGGUGGGGGAUGGGCUCGCGGCCUAUCAGCUUGUUGGUGGGGUGAUGGCCUACCAAGGCGGUGACGGGUAGCCGGCCUGAGAGGGUGGACGGUCACACUGGGACUGAGACACGGCCCAGACUCCUACGGGAGGCAGCAGUGGGGAAUAUUGCACAAUGGGCGCAAGCCUGAUGCAGCGACGCCGCGUGAGGGAUGGAGGCCUUCGGGGUGUGAACCUCUUUCGCCAGUGAAGCAGGUCUGUCCCUUGUGGGUGGGUUGACGGUAGCUGGAGAAGAAGCGCCGGCUAACUACGUG
Molecule: ribosomal RNA, 489 nt
Filed under: uncultured bacterium
Lineage: Bacteria
Description: partial 16S ribosomal RNA
Rfam family: Bacterial small subunit ribosomal RNA
Source: RNAcentral